This 452-nucleotide ribosomal RNA is filed under the name Wolbachia endosymbiont of Ixodes vespertilionis. RNAcentral describes it as "bacterial SSU rRNA". It matches the Rfam family "Bacterial small subunit ribosomal RNA", at positions 211 to 680 of the family's 1533-position model. The record is from RNAcentral. Lineage: Bacteria; Pseudomonadati; Pseudomonadota; Alphaproteobacteria; Rickettsiales; Anaplasmataceae.
UUUAUCGCUAUUAGAUGAGCCUAUGUUAGAUUAGCUAGUUGGUGGAGUAAUAGCCUACCAAGGCAAUGAUCUAUAGCUGAUCUGAGAGGAUGAUCAGCCACACUGGAACUGAGAUACGGUCCAGACUCCUACGGGAGGCAGCAGUGGGGAAUAUUGGACAAUGGGCGAAAGCCUGAUCCAGCCAUGCCGCAUGAGUGAAGAAGGCCUUUGGGUUGUAAAGCUCUUUUAGUGAGGAAGAUAAUGACGGUACUCACAGAAGAAGUCCCGGCUAACUCCGUGCCAGCAGCCGCGGUAAUACGGAGAGGGCUAGCGUUAUUCGGAAUUAUUGGGCGUAAAGGGCGCGUAGGCGGAUUAGUAAGUUAAAAGUAAAAUCCCAAGGCUCAACCUUGGAAUUGCUUUCAAAACUGCUAAUCUAGAGAUUGAAAGAGGAUAGCGGAAUUCCUAGUGUAGAG